UACGAAGGGUGCAACCGUUGCUCGGAAUUAUUGGGCGUAAAGCGCACGUAGGCGGCAUUGCAAGUCGGAUGUGAAAUCCCUCGGCUUAACCAAGGAAGUGCAUCCGAAACUGUAGUGCUUGAGUACUUAAGAGGAUCGCGGAAUUCCCGGUGUAGAGGUGAAAUUCGUAGAUAUCGGGAGGAACACCAGUGGCGAAGGCGGCGAUCUGGGAAGAUACUGACGCUGAGGUGCGAAAGCGUGGGGAGCAAACAGG
Molecule: ribosomal RNA, 253 nt
Filed under: uncultured bacterium
Lineage: Bacteria
Description: partial 16S ribosomal RNA
Rfam family: Bacterial small subunit ribosomal RNA
Source: RNAcentral